Molecule: ribosomal RNA, 481 nt
Filed under: uncultured bacterium
Lineage: Bacteria
Description: bacterial SSU rRNA
Rfam family: Bacterial small subunit ribosomal RNA
Source: RNAcentral
GACGAACGCUGGCGGCGUGCUUAACACAUGCAAGUCGAACGAAGCACUUCUACUGAUCCCCUCGGGGUGAUUUAGUUGUGACUGAGUGGCGGACGGGUGAGUAACGCGUGGGUAACCUGCCUCAUACAGGGGGAUAACAGUUAGAAAUGACUGCUAAUACCGCAUAAGCGCACAGUACUGCAUGGUACAGUGUGAAAAACUCCGGUGGUAUGAGAUGGACCCGCGUCUGAUUAGCUAGUUGGUGGGGUAACGGCCCACCAAGGCGACGAUCAGUAGCCGGCCUGAGAGGGCGACCGGCCACAUUGGGACUGAGACACGGCCCAGACUCCUACGGGAGCAGCAGUGGGGAAUAUUGGCACAAUGGGCGCAAGCCUGACCCAGCAACGCCGCGUGAAGGAAGAAGGCUUUCGGGUUGUAAACUCUUUUAAGAGGGACGAAUACUAGACGGUAACCUCUUGAAUAAGCCACGGCUAACUACGUG